Molecule: RNA transcript, 816 nt
Organism: Mesocricetus auratus (golden hamster)
Lineage: Eukaryota; Metazoa; Chordata; Mammalia; Rodentia; Cricetidae
Gene: Wfdc2
Gene name: WAP four-disulfide core domain 2
Exons: 6
Source: RefSeq, a predicted model, not a curated record
GCACCCCUCGCUCAGCCCCGCCCCCGGCGCGAGUGGUUAAAUCCCCCCCACCCGGGCUGCAGCUCACACCUGCACCAUGCCUGCCUGUCGCCUCUGCUUGCGGGCAGCGGGCCUGCUUCUGGGACUGCUGCUGUUCACCCACCUUCCAGUCACAGGUGCGGGAGAGGAGAAACCCGGCGUGUGCCCCCAGCUCCAGAACAAUACUGGCUGUGUGAAGGAGUGCUCGUCGGACACCCACUGCCUGGACAACCUCAAGUGCUGCCAGGCCGGCUGCAGCUCUGUCUGUUCCCCGCCUAAUGGAUCUCCUCCACCUUCAGGACUGAACGAGGAAGAGCUCCUGGACCCUACUCUAUCCGUCCUCCAUACUUCUCCUUCACAGGGAGGUCAAGUCUCCACCUUACCACCGGCUGUGGUCAGGGAAGAAGGCGACCUAGAAAAGCAGGGCGCCUGCCCCAGUGUGGACUUCCCCAAGCUCGGCAUCUGCGAGGACCAGUGCCAGUCGGACAGUGAGUGUUCUGACAACAUGAAAUGCUGCCGCAAUGGCUGUGGGAAGAUGACCUGUGCCACACCCAUAUUCUGAGAACAGGGAUAAAUGCCAUCUAUUUGGUCAAUUCAGCUCAAACUGAUCUAAGGAAUGAAGCUUCAGCCACCACCAGCCUGAGGAAUGGGGAGAGGGUGCUUCUGCUCGGCCAUGCAGCUGGUAUCAUUCCCGUGGCCUCCCUUCCCUCUGGCCUUUGAGUUUCUUCUUGGACCCACAAGAGCACCUCCCUUCUCCAACCAAUAAAGUGAUCACUUGCAGCAAUGGAGAAGCCAUAA